RNAcentral lists this transfer RNA (64 nucleotides) under Criodrilus lacuum. RNAcentral's name for it is "partial tRNA-Ser". Lineage: Eukaryota; Metazoa; Annelida; Clitellata; Crassiclitellata; Almidae. The record is from RNAcentral.
GGCCUGAUGUUUUGGAAACACUAGACCUUGAAAGUCUACUUAAAGACGUUCGAUUCGCCUUCAA